CUAUGGGCAUAAUUUUAUUUGAAGUUUACAAAAUCAACUUUAUUCGGCUUUUAUCUAAUGAGGUACCAUUUGGUGUUUCCUCGAGGCGGGCAUAAGCAUGGCCUGCCUCCGCGCAAGUUGCUUGGGUAGUGGUAGUGAAUAGAGAACCGCAUCAAUCGUUACCCUUAUUUUUAGUGGGUGCUGAUUAGAGAGGACCCCCUUAAUCGCCUAAAAAGUGGGGAGUCGACAAAGACCAUCGCUGUUCGCCCAGGGGGAAAAAUCGCUCAAUGGUUAGGACAAAGGGUAGAAAGUAGGCAGGGGGGGUGGGUCGUGAAUAAUACCAUCAGUUCAGAUUGCCCUGUUCAACGUCUGUACAUGAAGGAGGAGUUGGUAGUAUAUCAUGAAUGCACCGUACGGUGAAUACGUUUUGUGGUGUUGUACAGGCCUCGGACCAUCCUCCUCCCUCAAAACCUUUUUUUAUGAAUCAUCCCUCACCAGAUCUGAAUGUAUAGAUUCUUGAGAGUCGAUAACUAAAAGAGAUCACAAUGCCC
This 530-nucleotide ribosomal RNA is filed under the name uncultured soil bacterium. Its description in RNAcentral is "partial small subunit ribosomal RNA". The record is from RNAcentral.